CAAUGUUAAAAGUAUAUUAGAGUGUGGAGACAGUGGCCAAAGAAGGAAAUUGUUAUUUAGUUUGUUUUAAGAGUGACUGGACUAGAAAGAUGGCUUUAAGAUGAAUGGGCACUGAGGGAGAGUAAAACCUGCAGGAGGCAGUAAUGCAACACUGUGGAUGCCAACUGAUACAGCUAGCUACGGCAUUUAGCUGAGAAAAAGUGGAUACGACAGUUAGCUAGGUUUAGGCACCAAAACGACUAACGUUAGUUAAGUUUAGAAAAAAUAUCAUGGUUUGGAUUAAAACACUCCCAAUGAACGAACACGCGUUUGCUGGGUUUAAAAUACUAAAAUUAUAUUGGAUUAGAUUUUGCGUAACUUCCGGAUGUAGCUGUAUCCCUUCUAGCCACAACCAGAAGAUCAUGGUCACCAAGUUUUUUGUAGCAUAGCUAACUUAGCUAACAUACACCUGAAGAUGUGUAAAUUAAUUUCAGGUGCUAAGGUUUUUGCAGAAAUGUGCCACCACAAACAGUUAACGUUAAAAUAAGUUGGUGUUUUCGGGAUUUUGUGCAGCUGUAAAUAAUCAGUCAGACCUGGCCUUAGGAGAAAAGACGCUGAAACUUCAGUCAUUGGUGACGUUCAGAUCGGUGCUUACAUGGUGAGCCCUUCUUUUCAAUAACCCAGUAACAGAAGCCCCUCCUGGCACGGUCAUUGAACUCAUUCCUGAACUGGGGCUUGUUUUGAGCUCUUGUUACUGUGGGACCAACCGUAUGCUUGCACCAUGGAGGGAACCGGAUCAUUAACUGCAGUUUCAUCCAGAAUCAAUGGAGGCAACAGGCUGCUGCUGGGGUGGUCUGUCUGGAGAUGUGGAAACAUGACAGGGUGACUCCUCGGCCAGAAUGUCAUGCUGGUGAAGAAAAUCGAAGGAUCAUGAAUAUUAGCUACCGUUUAUUCCUCCAGUCCAACGAAGUGACAUCAUGCGCAACACGGCUGCAAAACAAAUACUUGACGUGUGAGAGAGAAACCUCUCGACAGUGACCAAGUACUUACUUCUCUCCCCUAAAACGACUUGAGUCCCAUGUUUUUUUCUUUUCUCCCGUCUGCAUGUUCAUGAUAGUACUGCAGCCAGCUCACCUCGACUCACACACACAAAGAUGGGUUGUGUUACUUUGUCACUUAGCAACCACUUUGACAACAGUACUCCUGCUGUGUUGAACUAGAGCAGGUUAUAAUUUCAGAUUGUGACUUAAAAGGGACAUCCUUGUGUUUUGUCUGUGACCUUAAACAGUCGGCUUUAUACAAGUGUCAACUGUGUGAAGUUAUUCAGCUUGUACCAACCUUAUUUACAAUAAUUACAAUGAAAUUGCUUUAAGAUUUUAAAAUGCUAAUCCGUUGUAUGUUGUUAAAAUCAGUUAACUUUGUUGUGCCGGAAAGCCCUGGAUAUUCCUAAAUCAUAAAUCAGCAGUGACAAAACGAAACAUUUCAUCACACUUACAAAAUAAACCGUAGUAAUGUUGUAGUUCUCCACCAACAUAAUAGCUUCUCAAUAAUCAUCUAUAUGCUCUGAGCAAUAAGGUCUCACUUUUAUGACUUUUGUUUUGUGACUAGUCAGAAUUUACUUGUUCAUAAUCAAUCGCUGUACUUACUGUAAGUGGCUGAGCAAAUAACUAAAAUAGCAAGUCAUCACAGCUUUCAACCAGUUAAGAAAUAUAUCUUUUAUUUAUGUAUUACACAAAUAAACAAUUAAGGUCUUUGAGCUACACCAGCAAUGUAUACAUUUAAAACAUGGUGACAGAAGCACAAAAUAGGCAGAAUUAAAAAGUAGGCAAAAACAAAAGCAUAAACUCCUUAGUCAGUGUUUUUUUACAGCCUAGUCUUAAGAAAUGCAAAGACAAUGUUAAUUGUUUUGUUUUUUACCAUAGGAAAUCAGCUGCAAGACAAAAUGUUAGAAGAGAGACUCGGUCCAUUUAUGGUGGUAGG
Long non-coding RNA from Sander lucioperca (pikeperch), 1959 nucleotides. RefSeq lists it as uncharacterized. The record is from RefSeq and is a predicted model, not a curated record. Lineage: Eukaryota; Metazoa; Chordata; Actinopteri; Perciformes; Percidae. The transcript has 4 exons.